UACGAAGGGGGCUAGCGUUGUUCGGAAUUACUGUGCGUAAAGCGCACGUAGGCGGACAUUUAAGUCAGGGGUGAAAUCCCAGAGCUCAACUCUGGAACUGCCUUUGAUACUGGGUGUCUUGAGUAUGGAAGAGGUGAGUGGAAUUCCGAGUGUAGAGGUGAAAUUCGUAGAUAUUCGGAGGAACACCAGUGGCGAAGGCGGCUCACUGGCUCGGUACUGACGCUGAGGUGCGAAAGCGUGGGGAGCAAACAGG
This 253-nucleotide ribosomal RNA is filed under the name uncultured bacterium. RNAcentral describes it as "partial 16S ribosomal RNA". It matches the Rfam family "Bacterial small subunit ribosomal RNA", at positions 524 to 776 of the family's 1533-position model. The record is from RNAcentral.